AGUGAACGCUGGCGGCAGGCCUAAUACAUGCAAGUCGAACGGCAGCACAGCAGAGCUUGCUCUGUGGGUGGCGAGUGGCGGACGGGUGAGGAAUACGUGGGAAUCUGCCCAGUCGUGGGGGAUAACGUAGGGAAACUUACGCUAAUACCGCAUGCGCCCUUCGGGGGAAAGCCGGGGACCUUCGGGCCUGGCGCGAUUGGAUGAGCCCACGUCGGAUUAGCUAGUUGGCGGGGUAAAGGCCCACCAAGGCGACGAUCCGUAGCUGGUCUGAGAGGAUGAUCAGCCACACUGGAACUGAGACACGGUCCAGACUCCUACGGGAGGCAGCAGUAGGGAAUAUUGGACAAUGGGCGCAAGCCUGAUCCAGCCAUGCCGCGUGAGUGAAGAAGGCCCUCGGGUUGUAAAGCUCUUUGUCCGGAAAGAAAAGCGCCGGGUUAAUACCCUGGUGUCCUGACGGUACCGGAAGAAUAAGCACCGGCUAACUUACGUGCCAGCAGCCGCGGUAAU
Molecule: ribosomal RNA, 507 nt
Filed under: uncultured bacterium
Lineage: Bacteria
Description: bacterial SSU rRNA
Rfam family: Bacterial small subunit ribosomal RNA
Source: RNAcentral